RNAcentral lists this ribosomal RNA (432 nucleotides) under uncultured bacterium. Its description in RNAcentral is "bacterial SSU rRNA". It matches the Rfam family "Bacterial small subunit ribosomal RNA", at positions 28 to 441 of the family's 1533-position model. The record is from RNAcentral.
GACGAACGCUGGCGGCGUGCUUAACACAUGCAAGUCGAACGAGAAUCUACUGAAAGAGUUUUCGGACAAUGGAUGUAGAGGAAAGUGGCGGACGGGUGAGUAACGCGUGAGGAACCUGCCUUGAAGAGGGGGACAACAGUUGGAAACGACUGCUAAUACCGCAUGAAGCAUAGGGGUCGCAUGAUUCUUAUGCCAAAGAUUUAUCGCUUCAAGAUGGCCUCGCGUCUGAUUAGCUAGUUGGCGGGGUAACGGCCCACCAAGGCGACGAUCAGUAGCCGGACUGAGAGGUUGAACGGCCACAUUGGGACUGAGAUACGGCCCAGACCUCCUACGGGAGGCAGCAGGUGGGGAAUAUUGCACAAUGGAAGGAAACUCUGAUGCAGCGACGCCGCGUGAGCGAAGAAGUAUUCGGUAUGUAAAGCUCUGUCAGCG